CCUACGGGUGGCAGCAGUGGGGAAUAUUGGACAAUGGGCGCAACCCUGAUGCAGCGAUGCCGCGUGCGUGAAGACGUCUCUCGUUAUGUAAAGCUCUAUUAGUAGGGAAGAAAACGACGGUACGCGUGUAUGACUCCACGGCUCACUACUUGCCAGCAGCCGCGGUAAUACGUAGGGGGCCAUGGUUAUCCGGAUUUACUGGGUGUAAAGGGAGCGUAGGCGGUUGGACAAGUAAGGGGUGAAUUGCCGCGGCUUAACUGCGGAACUGCUUUUGAUACUGGCGAGCUAGAGAGCGGUAGAGGUAGGCGGAAUGCAUGGUGUAGCGGUGAAAUGCGUAGAGAUUAGGCAGAACACCGAUGGCGAAGGCAGCUUACUGGGCCACAACUGACGUUGAGGCACGAAAGCGUGGGGAGCAAACAGGAUUAGAUACCCUUGUAGUC
Molecule: ribosomal RNA, 440 nt
Filed under: uncultured bacterium
Lineage: Bacteria
Description: partial 16S ribosomal RNA
Rfam family: Bacterial small subunit ribosomal RNA
Source: RNAcentral